GCACUGCUGAGGAGUCCCAAAAUAGGAUGAAAUGGCUAUCCAGUGC
This is a non-coding RNA of Schistosoma rodhaini, 46 nucleotides long. NCBI's taxonomy places the organism in Eukaryota, Metazoa, Platyhelminthes, Trematoda, Strigeidida, Schistosomatidae. The record is from Rfam.